UACGGCGGGGGCUAGCGUUGUUCGGAAUUACUGGGCGUAAAGCGCGCGUAGGCGGCUUUCCAAGUUGGGGGUGAAAUCCCGGGGCUUAACCCCGGAAUUGCCUUCAAAACUGGAAGGCUUGAGGUCGAGAGAGGUAAGGGGAAUUCCUAGUGUAGAGGUGAAAUUCGUAGAUAUUAGGAAGAACACCAGUGGCGAAGGCGCCUUACUGGCUCGAUUCUGACGCUGAGGUGCGAAAGCGUGGGGAGCAAACAGG
This 253-nucleotide unclassified non-coding RNA is filed under the name uncultured Alphaproteobacteria bacterium. RNAcentral's name for it is "contains 16S-23S intergenic spacer region". It matches the Rfam family "Bacterial small subunit ribosomal RNA", at positions 524 to 776 of the family's 1533-position model. Lineage: Bacteria; Pseudomonadati; Pseudomonadota; Alphaproteobacteria. The record is from RNAcentral.